RNAcentral lists this microRNA precursor (71 nucleotides) under Fasciola hepatica (liver fluke). RNAcentral describes it as "microRNA fhe-mir-11587 precursor". The record is from miRBase by way of RNAcentral. Lineage: Eukaryota; Metazoa; Platyhelminthes; Trematoda; Plagiorchiida; Fasciolidae.
UACCCAGUUGAGGAAGUCGCGUUGUGCAGAUGGCCAAUCAGCGAAACCGAUUCCGGCAGCUUAGUACAGCU